GCUCAGCUAGUUCAGUUGGUAGAGCAUGAGACUCUUAAUCUCAGGGUCGUGGGUUCAAGCCCCACGUUGUGUG
RNAcentral lists this transfer RNA (73 nucleotides) under Danio rerio (zebrafish). It matches the Rfam family "tRNA". From Rfam's summary of the family: Transfer RNA (tRNA) molecules are approximately 80 nucleotides in length. The record is from Rfam by way of RNAcentral. Lineage: Eukaryota; Metazoa; Chordata; Actinopteri; Cypriniformes; Danionidae.